RNAcentral lists this ribosomal RNA (892 nucleotides) under uncultured bacterium. RNAcentral describes it as "bacterial SSU rRNA". It matches the Rfam family "Bacterial small subunit ribosomal RNA", at positions 505 to 1397 of the family's 1533-position model. The record is from RNAcentral.
GUGCCAGCAGCCGCGGUAAUACGUAGGGAGCGAGCGUUAUCCGGAUUUAUUGGGUGUAAAGGGUGCGUAGACGGGAAAUUAAGUUGGUUGUGAAAUCCCUCGGCUUAACUGAGGAACUGCAACCAAAACUGGUUUUCUUGAGUGCAGGAGAGGAAAGCGGAAUUCCUAGUGUAGCGGUGAAAUGCGUAGAUAUUAGGAGGAACACCAGUGGCGAAGGCGGCUUUCUGGACUGUAACUGACGUUGAGGCACGAAAGUGUGGGGAGCAAACAGGAUUAGAUACCCUGGUAGUCCACACUGUAAACGAUGGAUACUAGGUGUAGGAGGUAUUAAUCCUUCUGUGCCGUCGCUAACGCAGUAAGUAUCCCACCUGGGGAGUACGACCGCAAGGUUGAAACUCAAAGGAAUUGACGGGGGCCCGCACAAGCAGUGGAGUAUGUGGUUUAAUUCGAAGCAACGCGAAGAACCUUACCAGGGCUUGACAUAAACAGGAAUAUGCUAGAGAUAGCAUAGCUCUUCGGAGUCUGUUUACAGGUGGUGCAUGGUUGUCGUCAGCUCGUGUCGUGAGAUGUUGGGUUAAGUCCCGCAACGAGCGCAACCCCUGUUUCUAGUUGCCAGCACGUUAAGGUGGGAACUCUAGAGAGACUGCCGGUGAUAAAUCGGAGGAAGGUGGGGACGACGUCAAGUCAUCAUGCCCUUUAUGUCCUGGGCUACACACGUACUACAAUGGCUAUAACAAAGGGAAGCAAAGCAGCGAUGCUAAGCAAAACCGUAAAAAGUAGUCUCAGUUCGGAUUGAAGGCUGAAAUUCGCCUUCAUGAAGCCGGAAUUGCUAGUAAUGGCAGGUCAGCAUACUGCCGUGAAUACGUUCCCGGGCCUUGUACACACCGCCCGU